RNAcentral lists this ribosomal RNA (253 nucleotides) under uncultured bacterium. RNAcentral describes it as "partial 16S ribosomal RNA". It matches the Rfam family "Bacterial small subunit ribosomal RNA", at positions 524 to 776 of the family's 1533-position model. The record is from RNAcentral.
GACGAACCGUGCGAACGUUGUUCGGAUUCACUGGGCUUAAAGGGCGCGUAGGCGGGCUCGCCAGUCUGUGGUGAAAGCCCCCGGCUUAACCGGGGAAGUGCCGUGGAUACUGCGAGUCUUGAGGAGGGUAGGGGCAUCUGGAACGCUGGGUGGAGCGGUGAAAUGCGUUGAUAUCCAGCGGAACUCCGGUGGCGAAGGCGACUUCCUGGCCUGUUCUUGACGCUGAGGCGCGAAAGCUAGGGGAGCAAACGGG